CGGAAACUCAGUGGUAACGCAGGAACAUUUGCUGGAGCAUGCAGGCAAAGCUGCCCCUAAACAUUGAAAACAUGCACCUUAGCUGGCUAAUUAGAUAUACAAUGUAAUUUCUGGUAAAGCAGAUCAUAUCAACUUGUCGACUUACUUAAGCAAGCUAGUUAAAUAUUAGCUAGCUCACAAAACUCCCGGUCAGCUUAUCCUAAUUAUUCGCUAGCUGGAACAUUACUAAUAACGUUAGCUAUAGUUAGCUAGCUAAAACGCAAGUUUCGGCUAAACGACUUGCCUCCAUGAAUGUCAUUGAUAUUUGCAGACUUUGAUACUGUUUAAUCUGCACCCAUCACGCGUAAAAGUAAGAUACUUUCUUUGUAUUAUUACUUUUUUCCCCUUUGCAUUAUUACUUGCUAGCUGGCUAGAGGUGCCCGUGACGUCACCAAUAUUGUGAGCCAGCUAACUACUACCUCAGGUUGAACGCCGCUCUGAUCAACUUUUGUUGUUGGACCAAGACAUCUAUAGUUUGCCAAAUCCAAACUUUGGCUUGUCUGGUUUAGACGCCAGCUCGUGUACCAGUGCUGAUAAUGUGUUGAAUGUUGAUAAUGCAUGAAAUGUCCAUGCCUUCAACCAAAAUAGUUGAAUCAAGAUCUAACAUCGCCAUCUUACUGUCCUAUAGCUAACACUUUGUUUACUCCCACAAGUACCAUUAACAAUUGGUCUCGGUAAAGCACUGGAGUAUGAUUGAGGACUUAUGUCAACUCACUUCUCUUUCUCCUUGUAGUAGCCCCAGGAUGGUGUGUGAACUGCUACUCUCCUCACUGUGGUUCCUCUUUGUCAUCUUCUGGGUGGAGACCAUAAGCGUUUGGCUGUUUCUAUGCAUCUUCUACCAGGAUCGGGCAUUUUAUCACUGGGGGGACGGGUACCUAGUCAUAUUUUACACACAGGUAAUUUACUGAAUGUCAGUAAUUUUACAAUCAUCCAUACCAGCCUUUCUCAUUCUGUUAUUACAGGGCAUUUGCAGAUGACCCCGGUCAAAUGCUGUACAUGUUGAGCAGAGUUGAUCCUUCUGGACAGAUGCAGACCUGAGAAAGGAAAAUGAUGAGGAACAGCACAUGAUGUAUUGUCCACCAGAUACACUAUUAUGGGAGCUAUGUAUUUAUAUAUAUAUAUAUAUAUAUAAAAAAAAAACUCCUACAUGAACAUCCCCUCUCCUGUUACCCUCUUAAAUUUAGAGCAUGGUCCUUGUCAACUUGAACAGACUCCGCCUACAAAGUAGUUGGAUUGUGUUGGAUAUGGUUUGAGACAUCCAGCAUAGCAGGAACAACCAGGUUCCUGUAGUUACUGUAGAAUAUAGAUGCAUAAUGAGGCUGGUGAUUGUUCCCCACCAAAGCAUGAACCAACAUCCAUCUAUUUCUGUGGUUUAUUUGAAUAUGUGAUCUAGGUCACACAAUGUAGAAAAACACAAGGCAAAUACAUAGACAUUGGUUUUUCUUACUUGAGAUUUAGUCCAUGGUCAACAUCCUAUCAUUUGUGGAUUUUGGCAGACUUGCACAUUCUAAUGGCUGUACACGUUUUGUUUGUUUUCUCCGAUGUGUGUAUACAUGAUCUUCAGUCGUGGGCACUUACAUGACUGUCACGGGAUUGUUUUAUGUGUAACUAAUGUAACUGUAAAAAAAACUAACAACUUUGUUGAAAUAUACAUUUUCAAUGAAAAGCUUUAUGUUUGGAAAUGUUCCAAUGUAAUGAAAAUAUAAUUUGCACUCAUUGAGUAUUUUACAAGUUUUGUAAUAUCCUCUGAAACUGUUGUAGAUGUUUUUUUUAUGAAGACUGUAGAUGUGGUGUUCUCAGUUUGUAUCACUUGUAAAGUUUAAAUCACAAUAAUUAAGCCAUUAAUGCUCUCCUAGCACAUCAGAAAAAAAAUAUUACGACACCUAAAAUAAGACCACAUUUUAUCUUGUACUGGUCAAUAACUUGUAUAUUGUCUUCAGUGAUUUGCAUCCAUCUCUAAUGUAUGUCAUAGCCUAAGUCUCUGCAUUGUCUUCUUGUUAGGAAAGCAAGAAGGCUAAACUAGGCGUGGACGCGGAUUGGUUUGCAUUUCCUAUAAAGUUAGGAUAUGUUUGCAUCCGAAGAAGGAAUAAAUUAUAACAUUUUCCAAGCCUGUUUAUGCACUGUGCUUUUUUAUUUUCAUUUGGCUGCUGAUUGGUUCUCCGGUCAACCAGCCAUUUGUCAAUUGUAUGUUCCAAUUCUAAAAAGGGGCAGUUUUGUGUUGUUUUAGUGGCUUGUUUAUUAAACAUAAUGUACAAUCAUAGACGAAAUCCAUCUAACAAAUAUUCGUUUGCAAAAAAAUGAAUGCAAUUGAUUCACUCCCUCCUAACAGUUAGCAACAAAAUGGCUGGUUUAAAACGAGGUUUCCUGAAUCCCAGAUAAACCCCUUUCCCCCACCGAAGUUUCCUGAAUCCCAGAUAAACCCCUUUCCCCACCGAAGUUUCC
Long non-coding RNA from Esox lucius (northern pike), 2481 nucleotides. Lineage: Eukaryota; Metazoa; Chordata; Actinopteri; Esociformes; Esocidae. The record is from Ensembl.